Unclassified non-coding RNA from Mandrillus leucophaeus (drill), 113 nucleotides. It matches the Rfam family "Y RNA". Rfam says of the family: Y RNAs are components of the Ro ribonucleoprotein particle (Ro RNP), in association with Ro60 and La proteins. The Y RNAs and Ro60 and La proteins are well conserved, but the function of the Ro RNP is not known. In humans the RNA component can be one of four small RNAs -- hY1, hY3, hY4 and hY5. NCBI's taxonomy places the organism in Eukaryota, Metazoa, Chordata, Mammalia, Primates, Cercopithecidae. The record is from Ensembl.
GGCUGAUCCAAAGGUAGUGAGUUAUCCCAAUUGAUUGUUCACAGCCAGUUACAGAUCAAACUGCUUGUUCUACACUUUCUCCUCUUCUCAUUACUGCACUUGACUAGUCUAAG